Molecule: ribosomal RNA, 253 nt
Filed under: uncultured bacterium
Lineage: Bacteria
Description: partial 16S ribosomal RNA
Rfam family: Bacterial small subunit ribosomal RNA
Source: RNAcentral
UACGGAGGGAGCUAGCGUUGUUCGGAAUUACUGGGCGUAAAGCGCGCGUAGGCGGCUUUGCAAGUUAGAGGUGAAAGCCCGGAGCUCAACUUCGGAAUUGCCUUUAAAACUGCAUCGCUUGAAUCCGGGAGAGGUGAGUGGAAUUCCGAGUGUAGAGGUGAAAUUCGUAGAUAUUCGGAAGAACACCAGUGGCGAAGGCGGCUCACUGGACCGGCAUUGACGCUGAGGUGCGAAAGCGUGGGGAGCGAACCGG